RNAcentral lists this ribosomal RNA (465 nucleotides) under uncultured bacterium. Its description in RNAcentral is "bacterial SSU rRNA". It matches the Rfam family "Bacterial small subunit ribosomal RNA", at positions 338 to 795 of the family's 1533-position model. The record is from RNAcentral.
CCUACGGGGUGCACCAGUGGGGAAUAUUGCACAAUGGGCGCAAGCCUGAUGCAGCCAUGCCGCGUGUAUGAAGAAGGCCUUCGGGUUGUAAAGUACUUUCAGCGGGGAGGAAGGCGGUGGGGUUAAUAACCUCACCGAUUGACGUUACCCGCAGAAGAAGCACCGGCUAACUCCGUGCCAGCAGCCGCGGUAAUACGGAGGGUGCAAGCGUUAAUCGGAAUUACUGGGCGUAAAGCGCACGCAGGCGGUCUGUCAAGUCGGAUGUGAAAUCCCCGGGCUCAACCUGGGAACUGCAUUCGAAACUGGCAGGCUAGAGUCUUGUUGAGGGGGGUAGAAUUCCAGGUGUAGCGGUGAAAUGCGUAGAGAUCUGGAGGAAUACCGGUGGCGAAGGCGGCCCCCUGGACAAAGACUGACGCUCAGGUGUGAAAGCGUGGGGAGCAAACAGGAUUAGAUACCCCUGUAGUC